UUAAAUUGGGGAGCUUGUGAACAGGCUGAGAGGAAGUUGAAAACUUCGACCCAGGAACCUGAUUUGGAUAAUGCCAACGUAGGGAAGCACUUU
RNAcentral lists this non-coding RNA (93 nucleotides) under uncultured Anaerotruncus sp. RNAcentral's name for it is "TPP riboswitch (THI element)". The stretch from base 6 to 86 matches the Rfam family "TPP riboswitch aptamer (THI element)", at positions 10 to 89 of the family's 105-position model. From Rfam's summary of the family: Vitamin B(1) in its active form thiamin pyrophosphate (TPP) is an essential coenzyme that is synthesised by coupling of pyrimidine and thiazole moieties in bacteria. The previously detected thiamin-regulatory element, thi box was extended, resulting in a new, highly conserved RNA secondary structure, the THI element, which is widely distributed in eubacteria and also occurs in some archaea. Lineage: Bacteria; Bacillati; Bacillota; Clostridia; Eubacteriales; Oscillospiraceae. The record is from RNAcentral.